RNAcentral lists this non-coding RNA (184 nucleotides) under Bacillota bacterium. RNAcentral describes it as "Firmicutes bacterium (anaerobic digester metagenome) 6S RNA". It matches the Rfam family "6S / SsrS RNA". From Rfam's summary of the family: E. coli 6S RNA was the first non coding RNA to be sequenced, but its function was unknown until recently. The record is from RNAcentral. Lineage: Bacteria; Bacillati; Bacillota.
GAAACCCUGCUGUGCGCGUGACGAAGCUGAUGUUUUGAACCAACACACAUACCUAGGGAGCCCAGCUCCGGGUGUCGCGUGUAAGCCUUCGGGAAAGAAGGACACACAAAGCAUCUGGGAGGCACCCACCUUGCGAGAGCGGGUUCAGGUAACCUUCAGCCGUAAACGACAUAGCGGGGUUUCU